CUUGGGCAUGUGCCCCUGUGCCCGGCUUAAGUGGCAGCUUUGGAAGGCUGGUGUCCACCCAGCCAAGCACCUUGUCCAGCCCUUGUCCCAGGAGAUUCACACGAGAUUCUCAGGGGAUCUUGGUUGUCUUCCCGCUUCCCAGUGGGAACUGAAAUUGAAAACAGAAAAAGGGCAGGGUUGUGGCUCAGUGGUUAAGAGCCCCUGGGCUCAAUCCUCAGUACCCUCCCGCCCCCCAAAAAAAGAGGUGAUGGGGUAUUGCUGUUAUUGCAGGAGUAGGUGGCUGAUUCCAGGAUGAAUCUGGGGCUGGCCAUGUGGCUUGGCCAGCAUGCCCAAGACCCUGGGUUCAACUCUCAGCAGCACCAAAAAAUGCACGCCUGUCAUCCCAGCAGCUAGGGAGGCCGAGGCAGGAGGAUGGCAAAUUCAAGGCCUGCUUCAGCAACUUAGUGAGGCCCUAAGAAACUUAGUGAGACCCUGUCUCAAAAUAAAAAUUAAAAAGGGCUGAGGAUAUGGCUCAGUUUUUUGUACCUUGGUACAAAAAAAUAUAUAAAUGCUGGGAAACACGGGUUCGGCCAUCUGUCCCCGCAUGGUGCCCACUUGCCCAUCUGCUCGUCGUUGUCCCAGCCUGGGGUACCCUGACACAGCAACAGAAAAUGGACUGAGGCAGGUGGCCUCUCUCUGCCCUGCUCUGGGCUGGUGGCCGUGAAGCCGUGAAGAGGCCCCUACGCCUGAUGCUUCCAGCCAACCUCCAGUGGAGACCGGGGCUUGCCAGCGGCUGUAUAGUGAACUUGGCAUUGAUCGUACACCACCGAGCCUUGAGGUGACCUUAUGGCUGACACUCUGCUGUGGCCCUGAACCAGAGACACCCAACUAAAGGCCAUCCAGCUUUCGGACCCACGGGAAAUGUGAGAAAUGUUGUUCUUAUUUAGUGUCGAAGUUUGGGGGUCGGUUGUUCCACAGCAACGGUGACUAGUACUGUGCCAGGGGGUCCCUGCUGAAAGUCUGUCAGGAGGGACGACGGGAAGGCUCCUCACCAAAGAAUCUCAGCUCUUAUGUGUCCUGAAGUUCUGUGAUAUUCAUCGUGUCAAAGAAUCAUCUCUUGGUUUUGCUUUCUUCGUUAUUUUCUUCCUUUGUGUUGACUGACUUUUUCCUUUAACUUUUAUUUUAUGAUUCCUGGUGUCUUGAGAUUGAAUGCUUAAUGCAUUAAUUCUUCACCUUUCUUUUUACUAACAAAUCCACUUCAGGGCUAUCAGUUUUCCUAGGAAUGCCACCGUGGCCACUUGUGAUAGGCUUUGAGACGUUCUGCUCACUGCUCUAAAUAUCAUCCUUGAAUCAGUCCGAUGGCCAAAAAGUUGUUCUUCGCGCUCAAAAAGUGCCGAACACACACGUAUCAACGACUUACUGAAUAACAAAAAUAACAUCGAUCAUCAUCAUCACCACUGGGAGGAGGAUCGGCUAAGGAAAGGAUGCUACGGAGAAACAGGAGUCUUUUUGCAGAAUCACGAUCUUCGAAUGCCCCCUCUGGCCAUGCUGCUUGGGUCGCUGUCACUGUACCGUGGGGACUAAAAUGGCUACCGAAGCAGGUUCCUAGGACUCAGUGAUGCUCUCUUCCUAAGCUGCCCUAGAUGAGCAGGGACAGGGGCCGGCAGGGAGGACAUCACCCAGCUGUCCUCAAGGGUCCCCCUACUGUAAACACAAGCACAUGCAUGACUUUAAUCAGGAUUGAGGGCAUCCAUAGAAGGAAAGUACAAAAUCCAGCCCAGUCUUGAAGAGACCAAGCCUGGGGGCAGAUAGCUGGGGCAGGGAAAUAACUAGAAAACCACUGAUCCCCCUUGGUGGAAGGCCUCAGGCUUCCCAGGACCCUGGGGCAAGAAAGGGUCCUCUAAUGUCCUAUGAGAAAUCUUGUUUCUACCACUUCCUUGCUGUGUGACCUCAGGCCAAGUUAGUUAACCUCUCUGAGUUCAGUUUUCCUUUUCUGUAAAAUGAAAGAACAGUGUUGAGAGGAUAAAAGGAAAUAAUCAUUAAUACUUAUCAGGUGUUAUUUAAGAUUAUGAUCGGGAGCACAGAGCCUCGUCUAUGGAGGCUGUGGGGCAGCCUCUCACUGGCAUCUGGAAGCUGUGUCCAAGCCCGAGGCCUGGGGGAAGGUUCUCCUUACAGUCCCCAGACCCCGUGUGACUCCCCAGCUCCUGGGUCCCCCCUGCCUUCCCGGUCCUCUACCUACACACAUGUGCAUGAUGCACACCCAUGUCUGUAUGCACACAUAUGAUCCUACUUUAUAGAACCAUUGAAUGAACUCAUCAAUAUUACACAUCAACAUUUUUUCAAC
Molecule: long non-coding RNA, 2323 nt
Filed under: Marmota monax (woodchuck)
Lineage: Eukaryota; Metazoa; Chordata; Mammalia; Rodentia; Sciuridae
Source: RNAcentral